CUACAAGAACCCAUGUCUU
This 19-nucleotide small nuclear RNA is filed under the name Arabidopsis thaliana (thale cress). RNAcentral describes it as "snRNA_05284". Lineage: Eukaryota; Viridiplantae; Streptophyta; Magnoliopsida; Brassicales; Brassicaceae. The record is from RNAcentral.